This 253-nucleotide ribosomal RNA is filed under the name uncultured bacterium. RNAcentral's name for it is "partial 16S ribosomal RNA". It matches the Rfam family "Bacterial small subunit ribosomal RNA", at positions 524 to 776 of the family's 1533-position model. The record is from RNAcentral.
UACGUAGGGGGCAAGCGUUGUCCGGAUUUAUUGGGCGUAAAGAGCGUGUAGGCGGCCAAGCAGGUCCGCUGUGAAAACUCGAGGCUCAACCUCGAGACGUCGGUGGAAACCGUUUGGCUAGAGUCCGGAAGAGGAGAGUGGAAUUCCCGGUGUAGCGGUGAAAUGCGCAGAUAUCGGGAAGAACACCAAUGGCGAAGGCAGCUCGCUGGGACGUGACUGACGCUGAGACGCGAAAGCGUGGGGAGCAAACAGG